This 75-nucleotide transfer RNA is filed under the name Olallamys albicauda (white-tailed Olalla rat). RNAcentral describes it as "tRNA-Leu". It matches the Rfam family "tRNA". Rfam says of the family: Transfer RNA (tRNA) molecules are approximately 80 nucleotides in length. The record is from RNAcentral. Lineage: Eukaryota; Metazoa; Chordata; Mammalia; Rodentia; Echimyidae.
GUUAAGGUGGCAGAGUCCGGUAAUUGCAUAAAGCUUAAGACUUUACUAUCAGAGGUUCAACUCCUCUCCUUAAUA